AUUGAACGCUGGCGGCAGGCCUAACACGUGCAAGUCGAACGGUAACAGGAAGAAGCUUGCUUCUUUGCUGACGAGUGGCGGACGGGUGAGUAAUGUCUGGGAAACUGCCUGAUGGAGGGGGAUAACUACUGGAAACGGUAGCUAAUACCGCAUAACGUCGCAAGACCAAAGAUGGGGACCUUCGGGCCUCUUGCCAUCGGAUGUGCCCAGAUGGGAUUAGCUAGUAGGUGGGGUAACGGCUCACCUAGGCGACGAUCCCUAGCUGGUCUGAGAGGAUGACCAGCCACACUGGAACUGAGACACGGUCCAGACUCAUACGGGAGGCAGCAGUGGGGAAUAUUGCACAAUGGGCGCAAGCCUGAUGCAGCCAUGCCGCGUGUAUGAAGAAGGCCAUCGGGUUGUAAAGUACUAUCAGCGGGGAGGAAGGGAGUAAAGUUAAUACCUUUGCUAAUUGACGUUACCCGCAGAAGAAGCACCGGCUAACUCCGUG
RNAcentral lists this ribosomal RNA (490 nucleotides) under uncultured bacterium. RNAcentral describes it as "partial 16S ribosomal RNA". It matches the Rfam family "Bacterial small subunit ribosomal RNA", at positions 30 to 507 of the family's 1533-position model. The record is from RNAcentral.